AAAGCCUCCUUCCCAUUCCCGUCUCCUCCCCAGUCAGGUGCUGAGGAGUAUGGGCUGACUGUGCCCUCAGAUAUGUCUAACUUGGGGGUGGUUCUUGGCUCCCUCUUUUUGGAAUUAAGGAAGUGCAAGGAGACCGGGCAUGAGCACACCAACCCCUGAAUUCCCUUCCUGACCUCUGCCUCCUCCCAGGCCUCCUGUGUCCCUGGAGGCGCUGCUGAUGGGGCAGGGGUUUCUUGGUCACUGCGGGAGGAGACUGAGGAGGUGAGUCUACUCAUCUGGUCCCUGAUUCCUGUCAUAUCGGCCCCCAGCGGUGCCUGCUUCCUGCCUGCUUCCUUCUCUGCAUCCCCCUCCACAUUUCUCUUCCUAGCUGCUUGAUUCCUGGACCUUCAGGAUUUCAAGAAGAUGCCGCUACCUGGGAAGCCCCUGGGACUUUUUAACAGAAACUUACCCGAUUGGAGCAUGACUUAAAGAGACCAGAAAGGGAAGUACCUACUUUAUGGUUGGCACAAUGCCAGGGGCUUCACAUUCGUUAACUCAUUAGCUCAUUUGAUCCUCACAAGAACCCUAUUCUUCUUCUUCAUUAACAGAAGAAAUGGGGGCUUGAGAAGGCCUAAGCAACUUGCUCAAGGUCGUGUGGUAUAAGAGGCAGAGGUGAACUUUGAUAUCAGGAUUGUAGGACUCAAGGUCUGUACUGGAUCCGCUGUUUGGAGACAGAAACAGAAAAAGUUUGCCUACCCUGCUCUGCAAGCCUGUCUGCACCUCGCUCAGUUUCCUCAUCUAUGAAAUGCGAGGCCUGAGUUAGAUGCCACAAAGGAGUGAAGUGCUCAACAUCUAUCAAGGUACCUUGCUGCAAAUGCCAAACACUUGGAUGAAAGCCUGGAUGAAGUCUCCUCCAGCUACCCUGGGAAGUGCUCUCUGGCCUAUGGUAACCUACAGGUGGAACUUGAGGUGUGAUGUGCCACCUGGGCUUGGUAAACAGCCCCUCCUUAUGUGUAUAUACCACAUUUUCUAUAUCCACACAUGCAGGUGGACAUUUAGACUGCUUCCUCAUCUUGGCUAUUGUGAAUAACAUUGCAGUGGAAUAUUACUCAGCCACAAAAAAGAAGGCAAUCUUUUCACAUUCAACAAAAUAAAUGAACCUUGAGAUCAUUAUGCUGAGUGAAACAAACCAAUAACAGAAAGACAAAUACUUCAUGAUCUCACUUAUAUGAGGCAUCUAAAGCAGUUAAACCCACAGAAGCAGAAUGUGGAGUGGUGGUUACCAGGACCUGGGAGGAGGGGGAAAUGGAGAGUUACUAUUCAAGGAGAAUUGAUGUUCAUAGAGUCAGUCAUGCAAGAUGAGAGAGUUCCAGAGACGUAGAUCAUUGUGCUUAGUGUUAAUGAUAAUGUAUUGUACACAUAAAAUUUUGGUGAAGAGGGCAGAUUUCAUGUUAUGUGUGUUUUUCAUAAUAAAAUAGUUUCUAAAGGAAUUAAAACUAUCCCACACUAUACCCCUCUGGCCCCAGGAUUCUUCUUCCCUUAGUUCUUUCUGCCCAGAACCACCUGAAGACUGGCAGCUGAGUGUUCUGAAAAAAGCUCUAAGCUUGGGGGAGGGAGAUCCAGGUUUCUUGACUGUACUUCUUAUUGACUGUGUGAUGCGUGCAAAAUACUUAAACUCCUUUCUCCACGUUUCCUUAUCUUUGAAAAUGGAGCACAUAGAAAUACCAGUCUUGGCUACCCUGCAGAGUUUCUGGGAAAAUCUAAUGAGCUCAUGUUUGAGGAAGCGCAUUGUGAAUAAUAAAACACGAUACAGG
Molecule: long non-coding RNA, 1793 nt
Filed under: Homo sapiens (human)
Lineage: Eukaryota; Metazoa; Chordata; Mammalia; Primates; Hominidae
Description: HSALNT0182117
Source: RNAcentral